RNAcentral lists this ribosomal RNA (253 nucleotides) under uncultured bacterium. Its description in RNAcentral is "partial 16S ribosomal RNA". It matches the Rfam family "Bacterial small subunit ribosomal RNA", at positions 524 to 776 of the family's 1533-position model. The record is from RNAcentral.
UACGUAGGGUGCGAGCGUUAAUCGGAAUUACUGGGCGUAAAGCGUGCGCAGGCGGUUCGCCAAGUCAGGUGUGAAAUCCCCGGGCUUAACCUGGGAAUUGCGCUUGAAACUAGCGGGCUUGAGUGUGGCAGAGGGGGGUGGAAUUCCACGUGUAGCAGUGAAAUGCGUAGAGAUGUGGAGGAACACCGAUGGCGAAGGCAAUCCCCUGGGCCUGCACUGACGCUCACGCACGAAAGCGUGGGGAGCAAACAGG